Molecule: ribosomal RNA, 132 nt
Organism: Panthera pardus (leopard)
Lineage: Eukaryota; Metazoa; Chordata; Mammalia; Carnivora; Felidae
Source: Ensembl
GUCUACGGCCAUACCACCCUGAACGCGCCCGAUCUCGUCUGAUCUCGGAAGCUAAGCAGGGUCGGGCCUGGUUAGUACUUGGAUGGGAGAAAAGAAAAAUGUUCUUAAGAAAAUCAUAAGGAAGAGCAAAUA